This 313-nucleotide long non-coding RNA is filed under the name Trifolium pratense (red clover). Its description in RNAcentral is "long non-coding RNA (TPRA_LNC007358)". Lineage: Eukaryota; Viridiplantae; Streptophyta; Magnoliopsida; Fabales; Fabaceae. The record is from RNAcentral.
CGCAUUUCAAAGCAUAAUUUCUAUUUUUAAAUGCUUAAUCAGUGUCCCCGGGGCACUGUUUAGCAUUAUUCUCGUCCUCGUCUGUUAAGAAAGAACAAACAACAAACCUUCAAUCUCAUCAAUUUUGAAUGUGUAAAACAAUCUCACAUGAGUGAUAUCACAAUUACUCAACAUGUCUUUUUAUGUACAUAUAUAUAUACCUGGAAAAAUGAGUUGUUUGCAUAACUUGUUUCUCCAUCACCUCCAUUCAUGUGCACCUGCCCCAAGUUCAUUCUCGCGUUUUAUUUCCCCCUUUCUCAAUCCUCUGUGUUNN